UACGAGGGGGGCAAGCGUUGUUCGGAAUUAUUGGGCGUAAAGGGCUCGUAGGCGGUCUACUAAGUCUUAUGUGAAAUCUCUGGGCUCAACCCAGAGUCUGCAUGGGAAACUGUCGGGCUUGAGUAUGGGAGAGGUGAGUGGAAUUUCCGGUGUAGCGGUGAAAUGCGUAGAUAUCGGAAGGAACACCUGUGGCGAAAGCGGCUCACUGGACCAUAACUGACGCUGAGGCGCGAAAGCUAGGGGAGCAAACAGG
This 253-nucleotide ribosomal RNA is filed under the name uncultured bacterium. RNAcentral describes it as "partial 16S ribosomal RNA". It matches the Rfam family "Bacterial small subunit ribosomal RNA", at positions 524 to 776 of the family's 1533-position model. The record is from RNAcentral.